Jatropha curcas is the source of this 387-nucleotide non-coding RNA. Lineage: Eukaryota; Viridiplantae; Streptophyta; Magnoliopsida; Malpighiales; Euphorbiaceae. The record is from RefSeq and is a predicted model, not a curated record.
UCAUGCCAAAUUACCUCAACAGAAAUUGUAGUUCUCAUCGGGAAAGAAAAUGGGAAGAGUUCUAUUCAACUUGGCAUUCUUGGUGACAUUAAUAGGCAUCAUCUGUUGUUUUGUUGAUGGGACUGAACCAAGAGAGGCGGCGACGACGGCGGCGAAACAAGAAGUUUCAUUGAAAAGGAAUUUCAUACCAGACUUCGCUUGUAUUACGAAUGAGGAUUGCUUUGGCGUUUGUCCUGAACAAUGUGACCGUGUUUUCUGUAAAGAACAAGUUAUCUGCAUGUGUCAGAAAGGCCAUCGAAAAUCAAUUCAGAUAACAUUACCUUGUUAACCUUUCUCCUGUAGGAGAUGAUGUCUAAAAAAAUGAAAUAAUGAAUUUUUAUUUUAUAA